Molecule: long non-coding RNA, 2333 nt
Organism: Oncorhynchus tshawytscha (Chinook salmon)
Lineage: Eukaryota; Metazoa; Chordata; Actinopteri; Salmoniformes; Salmonidae
Source: Ensembl
GGGUCGCAACCCCAUAAGUCGCCUCAGAUUCAGGAUCCUGUUCAUUCUGAAGCCUCAGCAGAUGGCUACUGUGUACAGUGAGAUUUAACUAGAUACAUCUGCAGAGUUCACACCACUAACACUAUGGAUCUAUAUUCAUUGAUUCUUCAGAUAUACUACAUAUUAUAUCCACAUACUGUCAUUAAUGUCUAUACAAGAAGGGUUCUUCUUUAUUUUUACUAAUUUAUACAUUAUAGAAUAAUAGUGAAGACAUCAAAACUAUGAAAUAACACAUAUGGAAUCAUGUAGUAACCAUAAAAAAUUGUUAAACAAUAUUUUAGAUUCUUCAGUUUUUUAAAUUUAUUUUAUUUCACCUUUAUUUAACCAGGUAGGCUAGUUGAGAACACCUUUAUUUAACCAGGUAGGCUAGUUGAGAACACCUUUAUUUAACCAGGUAGGCAAGUUGAGAACAAGUUCUCAUUUACAAUUGCGACCUGGCCAAGAUAAAGCAAAGCAGUUCGACACAUACAACGACACAGAGUUACACAUGGAGUAAAACAAACAUACAGUCAAUAAUACAGUAGAAAAGUAAGUCUAUAUACAAUGUGAGCAAAUGAGGUGAAGUGGCCACCCUUUGCCUUGAUGACAGCUUUGCACAUUCUUGGCAUUCUCUCAACCAGCUUCAUGAGGUAGUCACCUGGAAUGCAUUUCAAUUAACAGCUGUGCCCAUAUUAUGGCAAGAACCCUCAAAUAAGCAAAGAGAAACGACAGUCCAUCAUUACUUUAAGACAUGAAGGUCAGUCAAUUAGGAUUAUUUCAAGAACUUUGAAAGUUUCUUUAAGUGCAGUCGCAAAAACCAUAAAUCACUAUGAUGAAACUGGCUCUCAUGAGGACCAACACAGGAAAGGAAGACCCAGAGGACAAGUUCAUUAGAGUUACCAGCCUCAGAAAUUGCAUCCCAAAUAAAUGUUUUACAAAGUAACAGACACAUCUCAACAUCAACUGUUCAGAGGAGACUGUGGGUAUCAGGCCUUCAUGGUCGAAUUGCUGCAAAGAAACCAUUACUAGAGGACACCAGUAAGAAAAAAAGACUUGCUUGGGCCAAGAAACACGAGCAAUGGACAUUAGACCAGUGGAUAUUAGACCAAUGGACAUUAGACCGGUGGAAAUCUGUCCUUUGUUCUGAUGAGUCCAAAUUUUACAUUUUUGGUUCCAACCGCUGUGUCUUUGUGAGACGCAGAGUAUGUGAACGGAUGAUCACCGCAUUAGUGGUUCCCACCGUGAAGCAUGGAGGAGGAGGUGUGGUGGUGCUUUGCUGGUGAUACUGUCUGUGAUUUAUUUAGAAUUCAAGGCACACUUAACCAGCGUGGCUACCACAGCAUUCUGCAGUGAUACUCCAUCCCAUCUGGGUUGGGCUUAGUGGGACUAUCAUUUGUUUUUCGACAGAACAAUGACCCAACACACCUCCAGGCUGUGUAAGGGCUAUUUGAUCAAGAAGGAGAGUGAUGGAGUGCUGAAUCAGAAUGACCUGGCCUCCACAAUCACCUGACCACAACUAAAUUGAGAUGGUUUGGGAUGAGUUGGACCGCGGAGUAAAAUAAAAGCAGUGCUCAGCUUAUGUGGGAACUCCUUCAAGACUGUUGGAAAAUCAUUCCAGGUGAAGCUGGUUGAGAGAAUGCCAAGACUGUGCAAAACUGUCAUCAAAGCAAAGGGCGGCUAUUUGAAGAAUCUCAAUUAUAAAAUAUAUUUUGAUUUGUUUAUCACUUUUUUGGUUACUACAUGAUUCCAUAUGUGUUAUUUCAUAGUUUUGAAGUCUUCACUAUUAUUCUACAAUGCAGAAAAUAGUAAAAAUAAAGAAAAACCCUGGAAUGAGUAGGUGUGUCCAAACAUUUGACUGGUACUGUAUAUAUAUAUAUAUAUAUAUAUAUAUAUAUAUAUUUAUACUCUGGACUCCGACAUUACUCAUCCUAAUAUUUCAAUAUUAAUGUAUAAUUUUUUUUAACGUUUAGAUUUGUGUGUAUUGUUAGAUAUUACUCCACUGUUGGAACUAGGAACACAAGCUCUUCACUACAACCGCAUUAAUAUCUGCUAAAUAUGUGUACCCAACCAAUAAAAUGAUAUUCGAUACUAGUUGGAGGAUUGUGCAUUGAUUUCGGGAUGCUAAUUGGUUAACCCUCUGUGUAAGUUAUGUUGUAUUUGUGAUGACUUGUGAAUAAAUUACUAUUUGAUUGUCAGAUAGAUGCUCAGUUUGAUGCAUUUUGGGAUGCAUCAAGAUUUUCUUCUCCUCAAAGCACAGCCAAGGAAGAAUUUAUUUCUGUAUUGGAUAGAGACGCUGAGUGGACACUGCAGAACGG